AGCAGCCGCGGUAAUUCCAGCUCCAAUAGCGUAUAUUAAAGUUGUUGCAGUUAAAAAGCUCGUAGUUGAACUUCAGGCCUGUCCAGAUGGUCCGCCUUAAUUGGUGUGUACUGUCCUUGGGUGGGUCCUACCUUCUGGCGAAGCGGCAUGGCCUUAAUUGGUUGUGUUGGGGAACCAGGACUUUUACUGUGAAAAAAUUAGAGUGUUCAAAGCAGGCAAAUAUGCUCGAAUACAUUAGCAUGGAAUAAUGGAAUAGGACGAUGGUUCUAUUUUGUUGGUUCUAGGACCGUUGUAAUGAUUAAUAGGGAUAGUUGGGGGCAUUAGUAUUCAAUUGUCAGGGGUGAAAUUCUUGGAUUUAUUGAAGACUAACUACUGCGAAAGCAUUUGCCAAGGAUGUUUUCAUUAAUCAAGAACGAAAGUUAGGGGAUCGAAGGCGAUCAGAUACCGUCGUAGUCUUAACCAUAAACUAUGCCGACUAGGAAUCGGGCGAUGUUGACAAAAUGACUCGCUCGGCACCUCA
RNAcentral lists this unclassified non-coding RNA (520 nucleotides) under uncultured Paraglomus. Its description in RNAcentral is "bacterial SSU rRNA". It matches the Rfam family "Eukaryotic small subunit ribosomal RNA", at positions 569 to 1090 of the family's 1831-position model. Lineage: Eukaryota; Fungi; Glomeromycota; Glomeromycetes; Paraglomerales; Paraglomeraceae. The record is from RNAcentral.